Polypterus senegalus (gray bichir) is the source of this 620-nucleotide long non-coding RNA. RefSeq lists it as uncharacterized. The transcript is spliced from 3 exons. Lineage: Eukaryota; Metazoa; Chordata; Cladistia; Polypteriformes; Polypteridae. The record is from RefSeq and is a predicted model, not a curated record.
UUAAUUGCUUGGACCCCGGUUUGACCUGUGUAUUUCUUCAUGUUACUUUCCUUCUGGGACACUAAUGCCCCUACAAUAUUCCACAUACAUCUAAAUGGGCAUGGUGUGGUAGCCACUACUGACAACAAAAAUAUCCCAAUACAAGUUCAUGAAAAAACAGCAGACUGCUUGAAUGGGAUAGGAAGUCACUUUCACUGGCUGUUUACGUGCCGACAGAACUGAAGUCCUCCUAUCAGCAAGUCCAGCACAGUGUAUGCAGAAACUAAUGCAUGCAUCUUCCUAUCCUGAUGAUUUAAGUCUUAACAGGCUGGAUUUGGCUCACAGGAGGUCUGUUGAGUAUCGAUGGCCUAGAGAGAUGCAAAGUGACAAAGUAAGUGUUUUCAUGCUUUACCAUGGUAAGUAGUCUAAGUAGUCCGGCCAUGAAGGGCAGCAGAUCUGAUAUUUUAUCUUUAUUUAUUUGUGGUUUGGUUGCUUCCUGUGUCUACUCAUUCCUUGUGGAGAUGUUUAAUUUAAUAAAUAAAUAUUUGCUUUGACUUCCUUGAUAUGAUUUGGGAAUUGAAGAUGUUACAGACUGCGGUGGGUUGGCACCCUGCCCGGGAUUGGUUCCUGCCUUGUGCCCU